UUAGGUCUCUAGAAAUUGAGCUUUUCUUACUGUACCUUGUUUUUGCCUAUCUGCCUCUUCCAUCACAGAUGUCCAAGAAAAGAUCUGUUUUGCACUUUGAGAAAAGUGGCUGACAUGCUUUCCCCGGAAAUACUAUUAAGUAUGGUGCAUAUUAUUCCAUUCUUAGAAUGGAUAGAUAUUUUCCUGCUGGAUGAGACACAAUUCAUUGUUUGGAGGAAGGAACUAAAACCUGAAUAGAGGAUUCAUGCUCAGGUUCACAUUUGUUUGUCAGUCUUUUGAAUGUGCUGCUGCACAGCAGGAGCAGGUGUGUCUCGGACAGGUCAAUUAGUGGUGUUUGGAGUGAACUGUGAAAUCGGUGAAUAAUUUAUUGGAUUGGGGGCCACAACUAGUUCCCUUCCUUGUCUCCAGAGAAAAAUGAAUACGCUCCAGAACACAGAAAGAAAAGUCCUCUGAAUUAAGAGUAAAGGAGAAGGAAAGUGAGAAGAAUCUUUAAGAGAUCCUGGUUACACAGCAGAAAACAGUUUUGGAAAGGGUUUAAAUACCAAGGUGAUGGAUGCAACCUGAGAACCUGAAUCAAACAAAGCCUGGACCACUGCAAAGAAGGGAAAUGCUAAAAGCACCCUCAUAACGGCCUCUCGUCAGCACUGGUACCUCAAGAGACAGCAGCGGACAUUUGCCACGGCCUUUACUCACCGCCUCCGUGCAGCACGGCCACCAUG
Cygnus atratus (black swan) is the source of this 719-nucleotide long non-coding RNA. RefSeq lists it as uncharacterized. The record is from RefSeq and is a predicted model, not a curated record. Lineage: Eukaryota; Metazoa; Chordata; Aves; Anseriformes; Anatidae. The transcript is spliced from 3 exons.